AUUGAACGCUGGCGGCAUGCCUUACACAUGCAAGUCGAACGGCAGCACGGGGCAACCUGGUGGCGAGUGGCGAACGGGUGAGUAAUGCAUCGGAACGUACCUUUCAGUGGGGGAUAACGUAGCGAAAGUUACGCUAAUACCGCAUAUUCUGUGAGCAGGAAAGCAGGGGAUCGCAAGACCUUGCGCUGAUUGAGCGGCCGAUGUCAGAUUAGCUAGUUGGUGAGGUAAAGGCUCACCAAGGCGACGAUCUGUAGCAGGUCUGAGAGGAUGAUCCGCCACACUGGAACUGAGACACGGUCCAGACUCCUACGGGGGGCAGCAGUGGGGAAUUUUGGACAAUGGGGGCAACCCUGAUCCAGCCAUGCCGCGUGAGUGAAGAAGGCCUUCGGGUUGUAAAGCUCUUUCGGCCGGGAAGAAAUCGCACGGGCUAAUACCCUGUGUGGAUGUCGGUACCGGAAUAAGAAGCACCGGCUAACUACGUGCCAGCAGCCGCCGUAA
RNAcentral lists this ribosomal RNA (498 nucleotides) under uncultured bacterium. Its description in RNAcentral is "partial 16S ribosomal RNA". It matches the Rfam family "Bacterial small subunit ribosomal RNA", at positions 30 to 523 of the family's 1533-position model. The record is from RNAcentral.